UUUGAGAUGAGUGAUUUGAUGGUAGGAAGC
RNAcentral lists this non-coding RNA (30 nucleotides) under Rattus norvegicus (Norway rat). The record is from RNAcentral. Lineage: Eukaryota; Metazoa; Chordata; Mammalia; Rodentia; Muridae.